This 492-nucleotide ribosomal RNA is filed under the name uncultured bacterium. Its description in RNAcentral is "partial 16S ribosomal RNA". It matches the Rfam family "Bacterial small subunit ribosomal RNA", at positions 29 to 507 of the family's 1533-position model. The record is from RNAcentral.
AGUGAACGCUGGCGGUAGGCCUAACACAUGCAAGUCGAACGGCAGCACAGUAAGAGCUUGCUCUUACGGGUGGCGAGUGGCGGACGGGUGAGGAAUACAUCGGAAUCUACUUUUUCGUGGGGGAUAACGUAGGGAAACUUACGCUAAUACCGCAUACGACCUACGGGUGAAAGCAGGGGAUCUUCGGACCUUGCGCGAUUGAAUGAGCCGAUGUCGGAUUAGCUAGUUGGCGGGGUAAAGGCCCACCAAGGCGACGAUCCGUAGCUGGUCUGAGAGGAUGAUCAGCCACACUGGAACUGAGACACGGUCCAGACUCCUACGGGAGGCAGCGGUGGGGAAUAUUGGACAAUGGGCGCAAGCCUGAUCCAGCCAUACCGCGUGGGUGAAGAAGGCCUUCGGGUUGUAAAGCCCUUUUGUUGGGAAAGAAAGGCAGCAGGUUAAUACCCCGCUGUUCUGACGGUACCCAAAGAAUAAGCACCGGCUAACUUCGUG